GAUGAACGCUAGCUACAGGCUUAACACAUGCAAGUCGAGGGGCAGCAUGGUCUUAGCUUGCUAAGGCCGAUGGCGACCGGCGCACGGGUGAGUAACACGUAUCCAACCUGCCGUCUACUCUUGGACAGCCUUCUGAAAGGAAGAUUAAUACAAGAUGGCAUCAUGAGUCCGCAUGUUCACAUGAUUAAAGGUAUUCCGGUAGACGAUGGGGAUGCGUUCCAUUAGAUAGUAGGCGGGGUAACGGCCCACCUAGUCUUCGAUGGAUAGGGGUUCUGAGAGGAAGGUCCCCCACAUUGGAACUGAGACACGGUCCAAACGCCUACGGGAGGCAGCAGUGAGGAAUAUUGGUCAAUGGGCGCAGGCCUGAACCAGCCAAGUAGCGUGAAGGAUGACUGCCCUAUGGGUUGUAAACUUCUUUUAUAAAGGAAUAAAGUCGGGUAUGUAUACCCGUUUGCAUGUACUUUAUGAAUAAGGAUCGGCUAACUCCGUG
This 490-nucleotide ribosomal RNA is filed under the name uncultured bacterium. RNAcentral describes it as "partial 16S ribosomal RNA". It matches the Rfam family "Bacterial small subunit ribosomal RNA", at positions 28 to 507 of the family's 1533-position model. The record is from RNAcentral.